CGCCUCUAGGUAAAUGUUAGAGGUCUGGUCUGCCCAGUGUUGUAAAAUUAACGGCCGCGGUAUUCUGACUGUGCAAAGGUAGCAUAAUCACUUGCCCUUUAAAUGGGGGAAUGUAUGAAUGAUUAGACGAGGUUUUAGCUGUCUUUUCCUUAAAAGUUGAGAUUACAUUGCUCGUGAAAAUGCGAGCAAAUUUUUAAUGGACGAGAAGACCCUGUUGAGCUUUUGAAUGAAACAUAGGUGUAAGUUAACUUAAAUAAGUGGUUAUUAUUGAAAUGUACAUGUUUGGUAAAUUCUUUGGCUGGGGUGGCAAGUAAAGAUAUUAAGCUUUAUUCAAAUUAAAAUAAAUUAAUGUUACGAGACGGUAUAUGUCAACAAAUGUUAGGAUGAUCCGUUAGACUAAGCGAUUAAUAGAAUAAGUUACCACAGGGAUAACAGCGUUAUUCUUUUUGAGAGCUCGAAUUGACAAAAGAGUUUGCGACCUCGAUGUUGGAUCAAGAUUCCUGGCGGUGUAGCAGCUGCUAUGGGUUUGCCUGUUCGGCGAUUAAAAUCU
RNAcentral lists this ribosomal RNA (550 nucleotides) under Branchiostoma belcheri (Belcher's lancelet). RNAcentral describes it as "partial 16S ribosomal RNA". It matches the Rfam family "Bacterial large subunit ribosomal RNA", at positions 1829 to 2596 of the family's 2925-position model. The record is from RNAcentral. Lineage: Eukaryota; Metazoa; Chordata; Leptocardii; Amphioxiformes; Branchiostomatidae.